CCCUUAGAUGUUCCGGGCCGCACGCGCGCUACACUGUUCGACGCAGCGAGUCUUAACCUUGACCGAAAGGUUUGGGUAAUCUUCAGCAAAGUCGAACGUGAUGGGGAUCGAUCAUUGCAAUUAUUGAUCGUGAACGAGGAAUUCCUAGUAAGUGCAAGUCAUCAGCUUGCGCUGAUUACGUCCCUGCCCUUUGUACACACCGCCCGUCGCUACUACCGAUUGAAUGGUUUAGUGAGAUCUCUGGAUUGACGCUGGCUAGGGGGCGACCCUUGGCCAGGCUGUCGAGAAACUGCUCAAACUUGAUCAUUUAGAGGAAGUAAAAGUCGUAACA
RNAcentral lists this ribosomal RNA (331 nucleotides) under uncultured eukaryote. RNAcentral's name for it is "partial 18S ribosomal RNA". It matches the Rfam family "Eukaryotic small subunit ribosomal RNA", at positions 1470 to 1796 of the family's 1831-position model. The record is from RNAcentral.